GAUGAACGCUCGCUACAGGCUUAACACAUGCAAGUCGCAGGGUAACAUGAGGAAAGCUUGCUUUCCUUGAUGACGACUGGCGCACGGGUGAGUAACGCGUAUCCAACCUUCCCAUAACUACGGGAUAACCCGUUGAACGACGGCCUAAUACCGUAUGAUAUCGUUUGCUGACAUCAAAUAACGAUUAAAGUUUUAGCGGUUAUGGAUGGGGAUGCGUCUGAUUAGCUUGUUGGCGGGGUAACGGCCCACCAAGGCGACGAUCAGUAGGGGUUCUGAGAGGAAGGUCCCCCACAUUGGAACUGAGACACGGUCCAAACUCCUACGGGAGGCAGCAGUGAGGAAUAUUGGUCAAUGGGCGAGAGCCUGAACCAGCCAAGUAGCGUGCAGGACGACGGCCCUAUGGGUUGUAAACUGCUUUUAUGUGGGGAUAAAGUGCGUGACGUGUCAUGCAUUGCAGGUACCACAUGAAUAAGGACCGGCUAAUUCCGUG
RNAcentral lists this ribosomal RNA (490 nucleotides) under uncultured bacterium. RNAcentral describes it as "partial 16S ribosomal RNA". It matches the Rfam family "Bacterial small subunit ribosomal RNA", at positions 28 to 507 of the family's 1533-position model. The record is from RNAcentral.